This 660-nucleotide ribosomal RNA is filed under the name uncultured bacterium. RNAcentral's name for it is "bacterial SSU rRNA". It matches the Rfam family "Bacterial small subunit ribosomal RNA", at positions 94 to 788 of the family's 1533-position model. The record is from RNAcentral.
AGUGGCGGACGGGUGAGUAACGCGUGAGAAUCUGCCUUGGGGUCGGGGACAACCACUGGAAACGGUGGCUAAUACCGGAUAAGCCGAUUGGUGAAAGAUUUAUUGCCCGAAGAGGAGCUCGCGUCUGAUUAGCUAGUUGGUGAGGUAAGAGCUCACCAAGGCAGCGAUCAGUAGCUGGUCUGAGAGGACGAUCAGCCACACUGGGACUGAGACACGGCCCAGACUCCUACAGGAGGCAGCAGUGGGGAAUUUUCCGCAAUGGGCGAAAGCCUGACGGAGCAAGACCGCGUGAGGGAGGAAGGCUCUUGGGUUGUAAACCUCUUUUCUCAGGGAAGAAGCUCUGACGGUACCUGAGGAAUCAGCCUCGGCUAACUCCGUGCCAGCAGCCGCGGUAAUACGGAGGAGGCAAGCGUUAUCCGGAAUUAUUGGGCGUAAAGCGUCCGCAGGUGGCGAUUCAAGUCUGCUGUCAAAGCACGGGGCUUAACUCCGUAAAGGCAGUGGAAACUGAAUAGCUAGAGUGCCGUAGGGGUAGAGGGAAUUCCCGGUGUAGCGGUGAAAUGCGUAGAGAUCGGGAAGAACAUCGGUGGCGAAAGCGCUCUACUGGACGGCAACUGACACUCAGGGACGAAAGCUAGGGGAGCGAAUGGGAUUAGAUACCCC